UUCUACUUCCUGUAUAAUCCGGAAGUGGCGGUAGGUGGUGGUGAUGAGCGCGUGCUGUGUGUGUUGUGGAGCAGGUUGGAGUUUUGAGGUGAUUUUCUUCAUGGACUUUACUGACAAAUGUGGAUGGCAGUGGAGCAGUGGCAUGUGCAGUGGUGUGAAGAUAAUGGAGAACUUUCCAGGAGAAAUGAUGAUCUCCGUGCAGUCAGUGGCUGUAAACACCGAUCUCUCCAUGGAGGACAUCGAGCUUCUCCAUGCUCACAUUACUGCACUGAAGAACGAGGUGGCCGAAUUACACCAGAAGUUAACACACCACCCAGGAGCUGAGCUUCAACACCAGGAGGAAGGGUUCUGUCCAGUAUUGAAGACUGAACUGAGUCCAGUCCCGCUGGAGCAGCUGGAGAACGAUGCCCUCAAACCGGAAUUCUGUUGGACUUCAGAGUGUAAAACUGAAGAACAUCACCCACACAUUAAAGAUGAAGACCUGCACACACUCCCACAGGUGGACGACGUUCACGUUUAUAAAAGUGAACCUGAGCUGAUGGAAAUCUCACACACAGCAAACACACACACACUACACAACACACACACUACACAACACAUACUACACAAUACACACACAAACACUGAACACAUACUACACAAUACACACACAAACACUGAACACAUACUACACAA
Silurus meridionalis is the source of this 675-nucleotide long non-coding RNA. RefSeq lists it as uncharacterized. NCBI's taxonomy places the organism in Eukaryota, Metazoa, Chordata, Actinopteri, Siluriformes, Siluridae. The transcript is spliced from 3 exons. The record is from RefSeq and is a predicted model, not a curated record.